UUCCCUUCGCUCUCACAACUCACACAUCUCACAAAACUUCAUCAGACCUUCUCUCUCUCACUCGGCAACUCAAGAAUAUCAUGCCAGAUCUCUCUCCAGGUGCCGUUUCAUGACCAGAUCUGUGAGGAUUUCACCAGAUCGAUAAAGGUUUGCAACCCUUGGGGGACGGAAGAGAGUGAUGGUGGUGAUGAUCCGGUUACAGGCUUCUAUACGGUGUGACAGUGGUGGUCCUUAACAGCCACCAUACAUUGUUGACGGUUCCAUGGUUAAAAUGAGGAGAAAGACAACCUAGCCGUUUAUCGUUGAUGCUAAUUUGUAAAUUAGGACUUACAUUCAAGUUUUCUGCAUGAACAUUUGAGACAACUGGCUGGGAGAUCUGGAACCAAUGGAACUACAUCUAGGGUUGGUCGAUUUCUCAAGAAUGAAAGUGAAGAUGGACUGUGAAGGCUAUGAAAGGAGGGUCAAAAAGGUUGUGUGUUCUUUAGCAGAUUUUGAAUCUUGCACACAACAAAUCAGACAUUCAUGCCUUCAUUGACAAAAUUUUGUAGACAGCGGGUUAAGGUCACUUGCUAUAGCAUACUACCAGAUGGGAAGUUCUGUAGAGACCUAAAGAGACCCUUGGAAGACUGUGGCAGUUUUUGGCUAAUGUCGCUAUGUCAUCCGCCACGUCAUGAUAGUGCUGACACGAUUCAAAGGGGGUUUGAAUCUUGGGUAAAAGUUAAAAUGAUUAUAUGCCACUGGAUGUCGAUUUAGCAAAGAGGAGUCUGUUUUGAGAAGUGAAAGAUCUGUUUUGCCUUCAUGCAAGCUUUUUUCUUGCAGGGAUGUUAGGUGAUUCAUGCUUAAAUUAAUUGGCUUGGAUGUUGUUGGGAGUUGUAGAGGAAUUUGGUAUUCCAAAAUUUGAGGAUGAUAACCUGCUUGGCGGUUUGGGAAUAGAAUGUUUGACGGGUUUUCUCAUUUUGGCUUUCUUAUAAGGGCGUUGAAGAGCCGUAAAGCACGAUCUUGACACUAUGGGGCUGGUUAGUGGAUCAUUCCAUCUUCUGAAGAUGACCAAAAGGCGAAGUUAUAUCUCAAAACCUUUACACAAUUCAAAGAAAGGGAGAUGUACGACAAAGCACGGGUCAGAGCGGUUGUAGGCAGAACAUAUCCAACAAUCAGAGUGGAUACAACCUGGUUAAGAAACAAGGCUUGAAGGUAGUGGUUUUGUUUUGGACUUUGUAUUUUACAGAUUGAUUUUUGAUAUUGUGUUUUGAACAAUGUACGAACAUUUCGGUUAACUUUUUUGAUUGAUUGAUUUUCGGUUAA
This is a long non-coding RNA of Helianthus annuus (common sunflower), 1302 nucleotides long. RefSeq lists it as uncharacterized. Lineage: Eukaryota; Viridiplantae; Streptophyta; Magnoliopsida; Asterales; Asteraceae. The transcript is spliced from 6 exons. The record is from RefSeq and is a predicted model, not a curated record.